GGUCAAGCUACAAAGGGCGCAUGGUGAAUGCCUUGGCAUCAGGAGCCGAUGAAGGACGCGAUAAGCUGCGAUAAGCUUCGGGUAGACGCACAUAGUCAGAGAUCCGAAGAUUUCCGAAUGAGGA
Molecule: non-coding RNA, 124 nt
Filed under: Clostridium chromiireducens
Lineage: Bacteria; Bacillati; Bacillota; Clostridia; Eubacteriales; Clostridiaceae
Description: Clostridium chromoreductans Bacterial large subunit ribosomal RNA
Rfam family: Bacterial large subunit ribosomal RNA
Source: Rfam by way of RNAcentral